RNAcentral lists this ribosomal RNA (430 nucleotides) under Pseudomonadota bacterium. Its description in RNAcentral is "Proteobacteria bacterium partial 16S ribosomal RNA". It matches the Rfam family "Bacterial small subunit ribosomal RNA", at positions 355 to 776 of the family's 1533-position model. Lineage: Bacteria; Pseudomonadati; Pseudomonadota. The record is from RNAcentral.
UGGGGAAUAUUGGACAAUGGGCGGAAGCCUGAUCCAGCCAUGCCGCGUGUGUGAAGAAGGCCUUUUGGUUGUAAAGCACUUUAAGCGAGGAGGAGGCUCUUCUAGUUAAUACCUAGGAUGAGUGGACGUUACUCGCAGAAUAAGCACCGGCUAACUCUGUGCCAGCAGCCGCGGUAAUACAGAGGGUGCGAGCGUUAAUCGGAUUUACUGGGCGUAAAGCGUGCGUAGGCGGCUGAUUAAGUCGGAUGUGAAAUCCCUGAGCUUAACUUAGGAAUUGCAUUCGAUACUGGUCAGCUAGAGUAUGGGAGAGGAUGGUAGAAUUCCAGGUGUAGCGGUGAAAUGCGUAGAGAUCUGGAGGAAUACCGAUGGCGAAGGCAGCCAUCUGGCCUAAUACUGACGCUGAGGUACGAAAGCAGGGGGAGCAAACAGG